This 78-nucleotide transfer RNA is filed under the name Nitrospira sp. Its description in RNAcentral is "tRNA-Asp". It matches the Rfam family "tRNA". Rfam says of the family: Transfer RNA (tRNA) molecules are approximately 80 nucleotides in length. Their secondary structure includes four short double-helical elements and three loops (D, anti-codon, and T loops). Further hydrogen bonds mediate the characteristic L-shaped molecular structure. tRNAs have two regions of fundamental functional importance: the anti-codon, which is responsible for specific mRNA codon recognition, and the 3' end, to which the tRNAs corresponding amino acid is attached (by aminoacyl-tRNA synthetases). tRNAs cope with the degeneracy of the genetic code in two manners: having more than one tRNA (with a specific anti-codon) for a particular amino acid; and 'wobble' base-pairing, i.e. permitting non-standard base-pairing at the 3rd anti-codon position. The record is from RNAcentral. RNAcentral also lists the same sequence under 2 other names. Lineage: Bacteria; Pseudomonadati; Nitrospirota; Nitrospiria; Nitrospirales; Nitrospiraceae.
GGGGUGGUAGUUCAGCCCGGUUAGAACGCUGGCCUGUCAAGCCAGAGGUCGCGGGUUCAAUUCCCGUCCACCCCGCCA